CCGAAACCGGGCGACCUACCCAUGAGCAGGAUGAAGCGAAAGUAAAAUUUCGUGGAGGUCCGAACCCACGAGCGUUGAAAAGCUCGGGGAUGACUUGUGGGGAGCGGUGAAAUUCCAAUCGAGCCCGGAGAUAGCUGGUUCUCCCCGAAAUAGCUUUAGGGCUAGCCUCAAGGUGAGAGAUACGGAGGUAGAGCACUGAAUGUCCUAG
This 208-nucleotide ribosomal RNA is filed under the name Clostridioides difficile. RNAcentral's name for it is "partial 23S ribosomal RNA". It matches the Rfam family "Bacterial large subunit ribosomal RNA", at positions 715 to 922 of the family's 2925-position model. Lineage: Bacteria; Bacillati; Bacillota; Clostridia; Peptostreptococcales; Peptostreptococcaceae. The record is from RNAcentral.